Molecule: transfer RNA, 65 nt
Filed under: Shinkaia crosnieri
Lineage: Eukaryota; Metazoa; Arthropoda; Malacostraca; Decapoda; Munidopsidae
Description: tRNA-Met
Source: RNAcentral
AAAAAGAUAAGCUAAUAAAGCUAAUGGGUUCAUACCCCAUAUAUGAGGAUUAUCCUCUCUUUUUA